RNAcentral lists this ribosomal RNA (471 nucleotides) under uncultured bacterium. Its description in RNAcentral is "SSU rRNA". It matches the Rfam family "Bacterial small subunit ribosomal RNA", at positions 26 to 521 of the family's 1533-position model. The record is from RNAcentral.
AGGACGAACGCUGGCGGCGUGCUUAACACAUGCAAGUGGAGCGACGAACCAGGGCUUGCCCUGGGGCAGAGCCGCGAACGGGUGAGUAACACGUGGGUUACCUGCCUUGAUGACCGGGACAACCCGAGGAAACUCGGGCUAAUACCGGAUGUGCCCGCAAGGGGAAAGGAAGCUUCGGCCUCCGCAUCAAGAUGGGCCCGCGGCCCAUUAGCUUGUUGGUGAGGUAACGGCUCACCAAGGCUUCGAUGGGUAGCUGGUCUGAGAGGACGAUCAGCCACACUGGGACUGAGACACGGCCCAGACUCCUACGGGAGGCAGCAGUGGGGAAUCUUGCGCAAUGCGCGAAAGCCUGACGCAGCAACGCCGCGUGGAGGACGAAUGCUUUCUGAGUUGUAAACUCCUUUCAGCAGGGACGAUUGUGACGGUACCUGCAGAAGAAGCACCGGCCAACUACGCGCCAGCAGCCGCGGU